Molecule: ribosomal RNA, 305 nt
Filed under: uncultured bacterium
Lineage: Bacteria
Description: bacterial SSU rRNA
Rfam family: Bacterial small subunit ribosomal RNA
Source: RNAcentral
AUGCCUACGGGACGCAGCAGUGAGGAAUAUUGGUCAAUGGGCUUACGCCUGAACCAGCCAAGCCGCGUGAGGGAGGAAGGUACAGAGUAUCGUAAACCUCUUUUGUCAGGGAACAAAGACUGGGACGCGUCCCCGGAUGAGUGUACCUGAAGAAAAAGCAUCGGCUAACUCCGUGCCAGCAGCCGCGGUAAUACGGAGGAUGCGAGCGUUAUCCGGAUUUAUUGGGUUUAAAGGGUGCGCAGGCGGUCUGUUAAGUCAGCGGUCAAAGCCCGGGGCUCAACCCCGGCCCGCCGUUGAAACUGGCA